Molecule: microRNA precursor, 89 nt
Filed under: Dichanthelium oligosanthes
Lineage: Eukaryota; Viridiplantae; Streptophyta; Magnoliopsida; Poales; Poaceae
Description: MIR2275 microRNA precursor family
Rfam family: MIR2275 microRNA precursor family
Source: Rfam by way of RNAcentral
CCAUUCGAAGUGAGGAUUAGAAGGAACUGAACCGUCCACUGAAGAAAAGGAGCAAGGUUCAGUUUCCUCUAAUAUCUCAUCUCGAAUGG